AGACUUUGAUCAUGGCUCAGGAUGAACGCUAGCUACAGGCUUAACACAUGCAAGUCGAGGGGCAGCAUGAUUGAAGCUUGCUUCAAUUGAUGGCGACCGGCGCACGGGAGAGUAACACGUAUCCAACCUUCCGUACACUCAGGGAUAGCCUUUCGAAAGAAAGAUUAAUACCUGAUGGUAUCUUAAGCACACAUGUAAUUAAGAUUAAAGAUUUAUCGGUGUACGAUGGGGAUGCGUUCCAUUAGGUAGUAGGCGGGGUAACGGCCCACCUAGCCUACGAUGGAUAGGGGUUCUGAGAGGAAGGUCCCCCACAUUGGAACUGAGACACGGUCCAAACUCCUACGGGAGGCAGCAGUGAGGAAUAUUGGUCAAUGGACGAGAGUCUGAACCAGCCAAGUAGCGUGAAGGAUGAAGGUCCUACGGAUUGUAGACUUCUUUUAUAAGGGAAUAAAACCUCCCACGUGUGGGAGCUUGUAUGUACCUUAUGAAUAAGCAUCGGCUAACUCCGUGCCAGCAGCCGCGGUAAUACGGAAGGUCCGGGCGUUAUCCGGAUUUAUUGGGUUUAAAGGGAGCGUAGGCCGGAGAUUAAGCGUGUUGUGAAAUGUAGAUGCUCAACAUCUGAACUGCAGCGCGAACUGGUUUCCUUGAGUACGCACAAGGUGGGCGGAAUUCGUGGUGUAGCGGUGAAAUGCUUAGAUAUCACGAAGAACUCCGAUUGCGAAGGCAGCUCACUGGAGCGCAACUGACGCUGAAGCUCGAAAGUGCGGGUAUCGAACAGGAUUAGAUACCCUGGUAGUCCGCACGGUAAACGAUGGAUGCCCGCUGUUGGUCUGAAUAGGUCAGCGGCCAAGCGAAAGCAUUAAGCAUCCCACCUGGGGAAUACGCCGGCAACGGUGCAACUCAAAGGAAUUGA
RNAcentral lists this ribosomal RNA (913 nucleotides) under uncultured bacterium. RNAcentral describes it as "bacterial SSU rRNA". It matches the Rfam family "Bacterial small subunit ribosomal RNA", at positions 8 to 913 of the family's 1533-position model. The record is from RNAcentral.